RNAcentral lists this transfer RNA (83 nucleotides) under Columba livia (rock pigeon). It matches the Rfam family "tRNA". Rfam says of the family: Transfer RNA (tRNA) molecules are approximately 80 nucleotides in length. Their secondary structure includes four short double-helical elements and three loops (D, anti-codon, and T loops). Lineage: Eukaryota; Metazoa; Chordata; Aves; Columbiformes; Columbidae. The record is from Rfam by way of RNAcentral.
GUAGUUGUGGCCGAGUGGUGAAGGCAAUGGACUAGAAAUCCACUGGGGUUUCCCCACACAGGUUUGAAUCCUGCCAAUCUACA